RNAcentral lists this long non-coding RNA (1178 nucleotides) under Equus asinus (donkey). RNAcentral describes it as "lncRNA (ENSEASG00005025934.1)". The record is from RNAcentral. Lineage: Eukaryota; Metazoa; Chordata; Mammalia; Perissodactyla; Equidae.
CUGGGCAUGACAACGCAGGACAGGGCCAGGGUGGUGGAGCUGUGGAUUCAUGUGGCCGAGGUAAGUCAUGGGAGGCCCAUGGAGGCCCUGUCUGGAAUCAUGGGAAUUGCCUCUUGUUUCUCAGCUGUCGAUAUUGAAGUCUGUGGUCUGAAUCCCUGCACUGGUCCUAGACACUCCUGCCAGGGCCACACUGACCUUGACUUGAAGUCCUGGUGGUGGCAAGCUCACUUCUUUCCUGUGCUCCUUCCUUGUGUUCAGCUAAAAAUCCUUGUGCCUGGCAGUGUUACUCCUCAGGUCCCAGGUGUGCCCUCCCUGGGUUUCCUGGGCAUCUGUCUCAUCCAGGACAGGAGAAGUCCAUGAGGGGACAGAAUCCAGAGCUGGAGAGCUCCAGCCCCCACUCACAGCUCAAUCUCUUCCCUUCCCCAGGGGUGCCUAGGCCUCAGAAAUUUCUCAUCGUUCCACAUGAUCCUUUCUGCUCUGCAGAGCCCUGCCAUUAAGCGUCUCAAAGACACCUGGGGACAAGUAUCCAGGUGGGUAGGCUGCUCUCUAUCCAAGCACCACGAGGGGGAGGUGGACCUGGCAGCCGGCAAUGGGUCGCCAUGGCCCCCGCAGUCAGCUGAGACCACCUGGGAGACAGUGAAUGCCUGGGACACAGACUGAUCCAGUUCCUGGGUCUCUGAGCCUCUCAGGGCCCUUAGGCCAGCGGUUCUGCCCAGGAACUCAUUUCCUUCAAUAUCAGAUCCUGACUUGAGCCCAGUUGGAGAUUCUCAAGUGUUUCCUUUGCAGCAACAGAAAUCUCCAUCCAACUGAAACCAAGAGUGUUCAAAACAGAUCUGUGUGGUAGAUAUGGGAAUGGAGGCCCCAGGUGACAACAGGAGAGGCCCCUCCCCAGUCCCAUGGGGACCUCGGGGCUCAGAGCAACCCAGUGAAAUCCCUCAUCCAGGCCCCAGGCUGUUUGGAUCUUUUGGGAUCUAAAACAAAUGGGAUUUGCCCUUCAACCAUCCCAUAGUCUUUCUUUCUUUCUUUCCCCACUCCCCCAGGGAGAGAUCCUACACCUUUAAGAAGUGGUGCAGGGGAGAGCAGCACGUGAGCAUGAGACUGCUCCUGAAGCACUGACAGGAGGCGAGCUCCGUGUUGGCCACUGCACAGAGGGCCCGCCAUGGAGCCCAGUAGAGGCG